CUCCAGGGGUAGCGGUGAAAUGCUAUAAUCCCUGGGGGACCGCCGGUGGCGAAAGCGCUCGACGAGGUCGGACCCGACGGUGAGGGACGAAGGCCAGGGGAGCGAACCGGAUUAGAUACCCGGGUAGUCCUGGCUGUAAAGGAUGUGGACUAGGUGCUGGGUGUUCCUCGAGAAUGCUCGGUGCCGAAGGGAAGCCGUUAAGUCCACCGCCUGGGAAGUACGGCCGCAAGGCUGAAACUUAAAGAAAUUGGCGGGGGAGCACCACAAGGGGUGGAGCCUGCGGUUUAAUUGGAUUCAACGCCGGACAACUCACCGGGGGCGACGGCAGAGUGAAGGCCAGGCUAAGGACCUUGCUGGACUCGCCGAGAGGUGGUGCAUGGCCGCCGUCAGCUCGUAUCGUGAGACGUCCUGUCAAGUCAGGUAACGAGCGAGACCCUUGCUCCUAGUUGCCAGCAGGUGCCUUCGGGCACGAUGGGCUACUCUAGGAGGACCGCUGUCGAUAAGACAGAGGAAGGAGAGGGCGACGGUAGGUCCGUAUGCCCCGAAUCUCCCGGGCAACACGCGGGCUACAAUGCGUGGGGCAGAGGGCUGCAACCCCGAGAGGGGAAGCCAAUCCCUAAACCCACGCCUAGUUCGGAUCGAGGGCUAAACCCGCCCUCGUGAAGCUGGAAUCCCUAGUAAUCGUGUGUCAUCGCGCGGUG
This 701-nucleotide ribosomal RNA is filed under the name uncultured candidate division MSBL1 archaeon. RNAcentral describes it as "bacterial SSU rRNA". It matches the Rfam family "Archaeal small subunit ribosomal RNA", at positions 618 to 1320 of the family's 1478-position model. The record is from RNAcentral. Lineage: Archaea; Methanobacteriati; Methanobacteriota.